Molecule: ribosomal RNA, 1762 nt
Filed under: Salmonella enterica subsp. enterica serovar Indiana
Lineage: Bacteria; Pseudomonadati; Pseudomonadota; Gammaproteobacteria; Enterobacterales; Enterobacteriaceae
Description: bacterial LSU rRNA
Rfam family: Bacterial large subunit ribosomal RNA
Source: RNAcentral
AGAACCCCGGCGAGGGGAGUGAAAAAGAACCUGAAACCGUGUACGUACAAGCAGUGGGAGCACAGGUUUACCUGUGUGACUGCGUACCUUUUGUAUAAUGGGUCAGCGACUUAUAUUCUGUAGCAAGGUUAACCGCAUAGGGGAGCCGCAGGGAAACCGAGUCUUAACCGGGCGUUAAGUUGCAGGGUAUAGACCCGAAACCCGGUGAUCUAGCCAUGGGCAGGUUGAAGGUUGGGUAACACUAACUGGAGGACCGAACCGACUAAUGUUGAAAAAUUAGCGGAUGACCUGUGGCUGGGGGUGAAAGGCCAAUCAAACCGGGAGAUAGCUGGUUCUCCCCGAAAGCUAUUUAGGUAGCGCCUCGUGAAUUCAUCUCCGGGGGUAGAGCACUGUUUCGGCUAGGGGGUCAUCCCGACUUACCAACCCGAUGCAAACUGCGAAUACCGGAGAAUGUUAUCACGGGAGACACACGGCGGGUGCUAACGUCCGUCGUGAAGAGGGAAACAACCCAGACCGCCAGCUAAGGUCCCAAAGUCAUGGUUAAGUGGGAAACGAUGUGGGAAGGCCCAGACAGCCAGGAUGUUGGCUUAGAAGCAGCCAUCAUUUAAAGAAAGCGUAAUAGCUCACUGGUCGAGUCGGCCUGCGCGGAAGAUGUAACGGGGCUAAACCAUGCACCGAAGCUGCGGCAGCGAACGUAUCACCCAAGACAACUUUGCGGAGUUGACGAUUGACGGAGCGAAGCGACGUCAAAGCGUUCAUUAAAGUCGAGUUGGCUUAGGGAUACGUUCGUUGGGUAGGGGAGCGUUCUGUAAGCCUGUGAAGGUGGCCUGUGAGGGUUGCUGGAGGUAUCAGAAGUGCGAAUGCUGACAUAAGUAACGAUAAAGCGGGUGAAAAGCCCGCUCGCCGGAAGACCAAGGGUUCCUGUCCAACGUUAAUCGGGGCAGGGUGAGUCGACCCCUAAGGCGAGGCCGAAAGGCGUAGUCGAUGGGAAACGGGUUAAUAUUCCCGUACUUGGUGUUACUGCGAAGGGGGGACGGAGAAGGCUAUGUUGGCCGGGCGACGGUUGUCCCGGUUUAAGCGUGUAGGUGUGUGUUCCAGGUAAAUCCGGUUCACUUUAACACUGAGGCGUGACGACGAGGCACUACGGUGCUGAAGCAACAAAUGCCCUGCUUCCAGGAAAAGCCUCUAAGCAUCAGGUAACAUCAAAUCGUACCCCAAACCGACACAGGUGGUCAGGUAGAGAAUACCAAGGCGCUUGAGAGAACUCGGGUGAAGGAACUAGGCAAAAUGGUGCCGUAACUUCGGGAGAAGGCACGCUGACAUGUAGGUGAAGUGAUUUACUCAUGGAGCUGAAGUCAGUCGAAGAUACCAGCUGGCUGCAACUGUUUAUUAAAAACACAGCACUGUGCAAACACGAAAGUGGACGUAUACGGUGUGACGCCUGCCCGGUGCCGGAAGGUUAAUUGAUGGGGUCAGCGCAAGCGAAGCUCCUGAUCGAAGCCCCGGUAAACGGCGGCCGUAACUAUAACGGUCCUAAGGUAGCGAAAUUCCUUGUCGGGUAAGUUCCGACCUGCACGAAUGGCGUAAUGAUGGCCAGGCUGUCUCCACCCGAGACUCAGUGAAAUUGAACUCGCUGUGAAGAUGCAGUGUACCCGCGGCAAGACGGAAAGACCCCGUGAACCUUUACUAUAGCUUGACACUGAACAUUGAGCCUUGAUGUGUAGGAUAGGUGGGAGGCUUUGAAGCGUGGACGCCAGUCUGC